CACAAGUGGCUGAGUUCCGAGAGACUUUAUGAAGCACUUUCCUGCCUCCUUCCUGCUUGCAGAAGGGGUUUCUGCACCUGCAUCAGGGACAGUCUGACAAAAGCCUCUGCUGUGCCUCCGGGGACCAGGAACGAGCACGAAUAUCCACUAUGAAACUGGAUCUUAAUAAAAUUUCCAACAAAUCCAUAAAAGGCACUGAAAGCAGUCGGAUCUAUAUCCUUAAUGGCAGUCCCACAAAGCAGGAAGAAAUAUAUCACCAAAAGUGGAUAUUGCUGUAUCCUAAAAUUAGGACAUGAUUAAGUAAACUCAACUAUAAAAAGGAAGAACAAGGACAUCAUAUAAUAUGCAAGUGGGUGG
Long non-coding RNA from Condylura cristata (star-nosed mole), 357 nucleotides. RefSeq lists it as uncharacterized. Lineage: Eukaryota; Metazoa; Chordata; Mammalia; Eulipotyphla; Talpidae. The transcript has 3 exons. The record is from RefSeq and is a predicted model, not a curated record.